RNAcentral lists this transfer RNA (69 nucleotides) under Felis catus (domestic cat). It matches the Rfam family "tRNA". From Rfam's summary of the family: Transfer RNA (tRNA) molecules are approximately 80 nucleotides in length. Their secondary structure includes four short double-helical elements and three loops (D, anti-codon, and T loops). Lineage: Eukaryota; Metazoa; Chordata; Mammalia; Carnivora; Felidae. The record is from Rfam by way of RNAcentral. RNAcentral also lists the same sequence under 2 other names.
AGAAAUAUGUCUGGUAAAAGAGUUACUUUGAUAGAGUAAGUAAUAGAGGUUUGAAUCCCCUUAUUUCUA